CUAAGUUUCAUUCUCGCUCCAUUAAUUCAUGCUCCAUUUUCGAUCUUUGUCUUUUAUAUUUUUUUUUCUCAUCGAAGCUUCACAACUUUACUCACUGUUUCCCAUCUUAAAACCCUAAAUUUUGUUAUCAUGUUGUAUUUCCCAAAAAUAUUUAUGGAGAGUUAGUUCUUAAGGAGAACUAAUGUAUUUUUUAAUUCUCAAGAGAAAUUAGAUUUGAUUGAAGAUACAAAUUGAUAAAAUGCACCGUCAACACUAUAUCUAUUAUGAUACAACUUGUGUUCAUGGUGCUUCUUGGAUGUAGCUGAAACCAUUAAUAGACAAAAAUCUCUUUUCAACUCAAUAGGGAAUGAUCUUCGUUUAGUCUCUGUUAUGUUAGAGUGUCGUUGUUGUCUCUGGUGUUUAUGCAGUGGUCCUGUGCUUCAUAGGUUGCUUGUCUACUGCUCUACUUCUUUUGAAUUUGUUUUCUCUUUUAUGUCACAGUAUGCGUUGCUGUGGUUUUUCAAUGUUAUAUGUUGGUCUGUCUUUAAAGUAGCAAAAUGUACUAGAGAUAGAGAUACCUAUUGAAGAACUGUUUAUUUUUUAGAAUUAUAUAAAUUGUUGGAUUUAAUCAUUUAUUUUUUUGAUGUGAUGAACAUUAGGUUUUUAAUUCCGUUUAAUAUUGAGUUUAUUUGAUGUGUAGAUUAAAUGUGCUACUUUGUGGUGACAACCACUUUUGAAUGAUGUGAAUUCUGGUGACACUUCACCUUUUGAUAUCAAUGAAUUCUGCUGGUGGGCCUCAAGGACAGUUGGGUAUGUGAAGGAAAAUAUUGUUCUGCUUGAUACAUUGCUCACCUUCCACAAAAAAAGAAUAACGUAAACUAUAAAUUUCAGGUUCUUUACGAAAACAGGGUCUUGGAGUUAGUCCCAUUGUCCAACAAAACCAAGAGCCUUAACCAAUUUUCUGCCAUCUUUCCCUUAAUUGAUGCCAUAAUAUUAUUUGUACUGUCUUUUGUUUUUUGUCUUUCUUGUAUGACCACAUCCAUUUUUAAUAUUCUCAUUUCUUGGACCCAUCUUUUUCUUUGCUCCUUAGAGUCCAAAUUUAUUAUCAGAGUAUAGGUAGAGGAAUUGUGAAUUCUUGUAUAAUGAAAUUUAUGCUGCUUCUUGUUGAAGUGCUUCUGGAUGUUUGCAUGUACAUUUACUAUUUAUGUGUAGCAUCAUUAGGGUUUUGCACGAGGUUCUUU
RNAcentral lists this long non-coding RNA (1220 nucleotides) under Phaseolus vulgaris (common bean). Its description in RNAcentral is "long non-coding RNA (PVUL_LNC002844)". The record is from RNAcentral. Lineage: Eukaryota; Viridiplantae; Streptophyta; Magnoliopsida; Fabales; Fabaceae.